Molecule: long non-coding RNA, 318 nt
Filed under: Coturnix japonica (Japanese quail)
Lineage: Eukaryota; Metazoa; Chordata; Aves; Galliformes; Phasianidae
Description: lncRNA (ENSCJPG00005002787.1)
Source: RNAcentral
GACCUUAUGGUCCGUGGGGUAUAAUGGGGUUGUUAUGCGGGUCUGACCUUACUGGGGUGGGAUUUAAUGGGGUUGUUAUGGGGUCUGACCUUAUGGGGUGGGAUAUAAUGGGGUUGUUAUGGGGUCUGACCUUAUGGGGUGGGAUAUAAUGGGGUUGUUAUGGGGUCUGACCUUAUGGGGUGGGAUUAUAAUGGGGUUGUUAUGGGGUCUGACCUUCUUCUUGCUACACCCCGACUGCACCAGGAUGGCCAGAUCCCCGACCUCAUGGGGCACUCGUGGAUCAGAACCGUCAUGGCCGUCACCAGCCCCACGGCCGGA